CAGGGAAAGAGGAAGGAGUAGGCAGCCUGUUGAACAAACACAAACAGAUACGCUGUCUCAUUUCCGUACAAAAUGAACAUGAGGGCAGAGGCGAAGCACUUUGACCGCCCUGACUGAGGAAAUGAACCAACCUUUGCUGCUUAUCUGUCUGUCAUUAGCAGUCCUCCCUGCUGAUGUGCUGGCCCAGAGCCCGGUUCAGAUCGAGUUUCAGACUGACCCGGUGUUGGUUCAGACCGGCACCACCUCAGUCUUCACGGUACUGACCGUGUCUGAUGUCGUAUCCAUCUCAUGGAGGACCCAGGCGGGGACUCUCCUGGGUCUGUGGGCCGGAGGAAAUUCAGUGGUCAACCCGGUGCCGGAGUACCAGGGCAGGAUCACCAUCACUGCCACCCAGCUCCGCAUCAGUGACGCCCAGCUCCGAGAUGCAGGAAACUACACGGUGGAGGUGAACCCCUUAGCUACCACGGGCUUCAGCAGCAACACCAGAUCAAUACUGCUGAGGGUGUUUGUUGCAGUGGCUGGCGUGAGCUUGUCUGUUCCCUCCGUGGCUGCGGAGGGGAGAAAUGUGUCUCUGAACUGCACGUGGACGGCUGGAACAGAGACCACGGUCCAGUGGGGUAAAGGGGGUUCGGCCAUCAGUGGCGACUCUAGGAUCACCAUCUCGGCUGGUUCACUGGUCAUCAAUCCUGCCAGACGGAGUGAUGCCGGCGAAUACACCUGCACCGUCACAAAUCCUGUCAGCGGCCGCACAGCCACGCAGAGCCUCACUGUCUACUAUGGCCCUGACACCCCUGUGUUGACCAAGAACACCCCGCCAGACUGUGUGGGCCCAGGGGACGCUGAGGUAGGACAGACGGUGCGGCUCACCUGUUUGUCUGAGUCACUGCCACCCGCCCUCUUCUCAUGGCAACGCGACGGACAGCCCAUCGCGUCCAGCCAGCCGGACAGUGGGGCGCUCAUCCUCCAGACUUUCUCAACUAAUCAGAGCGGCCUGUACACCUGCGUGGCUCGAAACGGCCUCACAGGAGACACGUCAGAGCAGCGGACAGACUUGGCCAUUGUAGGAACAUGUCUCAGUGCAGGGGAAGUGGCAGGGAUUGUGAUUGGCUCUUUGAUUCUGCUGAUCUUAAUCAUUUUGGUCAUCGUGGCCAUUGUGCUUCUCAUAAGAAGGAAGCGGGUGGAGCAGAGACAAAGGGAUUCUAUGGGAUUGCAGAAGACCGAACCAAAUCCCAGGCUUAUACCACCAGAUCCACCGCCGCAUGCUGCAAGGGAUUUGGGCCAAGGUCCCCAUCCACCCCUCCUUGACUUGAACACAAACACGCGCCACCCUAGCCACUUAUAUGCACUCCCACACAGAGGCCAUGGGAACCCACACACUCCGCCAUUGAACAGCCUGCGUAACUCCAACACACACCAACACAAUGGCCGCAGCCACACAAACGGGCUCCUUCACAAUGCUAUUCAGAACACCAAUUCAUACCCACACAAUGGCGUAGACAACCCAGCCUUCACACACACUGUUUCUCAGAAUGCAAACGUGCCACCACCACACACGCAGCAGCAGAACCCUAACAUUCUCAUACAGGCUGGCACGGCCCAGGGCGGUGCCCAGCCCCCAACCGUCCACGUCAACCUUAACCCUUUGCCACAAAGUGCCCAGCAAAACAACAAUGCACAAAUGCCUGUUGUUCAUGUCAAUCUCAAUUCGUACCCGAACAAUGAUCAGCCAACUCAACAAGACAGCUCUGCACCGCCUCUUACCAGUAUAGCUAAUAACAAUGCCACUUUGCAAAACCUAGUGCAAACUGGGCAGUCAAACACAAAUCCCAGAAUUCAAAGGGGGUUAUUGCAUCCUGGUGGCCCCCAGCAGAAUAGUCACGUAGACUCAGGUCCUCAAAUAUCUUCUGGACUCAUCCCUACUGGAUACACACACUACAACAGGCACAAUACUGCCCAGCGAAACGCCAACACGCAGACAUACCAGCAAGACCCCGUGCCAAAUACCAGAUCUGGGCACUCCAUCUCAGUACCACGUGACGCCCCAGCAGCUGCCAGCUCCCGCCGUCGACAGAUGCCGUGGGAUCGCCUCAGAGGGACACCAGCGUAUCCCAAUGGCACAGCUCAAAGAGAACAGACAUCACCUAACUCCACUUCCGCGAGUACAGACUACACGACUCAGCCGUCCACAAGUCAGGCUCGGACACCAAACAGAGCUCAGCCUGGAGCACGGAGCCAAAAUACCUCACGGAGCAGAGCUACACCCAUACAGGAUUCACAGUCAGUAGCCAGACAGACUCUUUCUUCCACUCUUGCAUCCAGCCUCCAAGGCCAAAACACUCACAGCGUGACACAGCUUGAGGCUACACACCAAACACACAGAAACCCUCGUUCACAAAGGGAGAGCGCUCAGCAAGACAUCAGAGGUCUGCCUGGUAGCCAGGCUGCCUCCAGGCAAAUAGCCGUACACAGCAAUACCCCCCAGGUGCUGCCUCUCAUGAGCCACCAGGCCUCUGUAGGCCACGUCGCUGUGUCGCAAGGACCUAUGACACAGCAGGCACCAACUGCACCACAGGGUCCAGAUACAAGAGCUCUGGCUGAUCCUAAUCACCUCCCACAGGCACACAUGGCCCAGCAACACAAGGCAGCACAGAGACAGACAGCACCACAAGGCCUGGGCACACAGACACAGCCUGGCAUACAGAGUGCCAAUCAGCCUCGCCAAGGAGGCUCUGCUCCAGUCCUGCACCCUUCUGCCCAGCCUAAUCCCCAUAACCUAACCCAGGCUGCACUUCAAAUGCAUACACAGAGGGCCCAAAUCUUCCAAAAUCGCAACCAGCAGACCCAGGCUGCCCUGCUUCACCCCAGAACACAAGCGGGAGCUCCUAUUCCUGAGACCCGGCAUCCACCAACUCCUCCUCCUGCCAUCCCCCUCACCCACUUCCAGGCCCUCCCCAGGGAGCGGACUCAGCACAAAUCUCCAGCUCGGGGCCCUCAACCCCCCAGGCACCAUGUGAACAUCCCUACGGCUCAGCGGCACCUGCACGCCCAACAGCAUCCUAAAAUGCACCACCAUGCUGCCACCAUGCACGGCAACCCACACCACCACCCUGGAAAUGCCCACAUGCGUGCCGGCGCACAGAGACAUGGCCAUGCUCAUGGACAUGGGCAACAUGCCCACUUUACCCACCCGCGCCAGGCUCACAGAGGGAGACCGAGAUGAUGACAGAUGUCAGCGUCCUACAUUCUACAACCAACCCACACCCACUAACACAAACAUCCGACAGACAUGAUCCAGUAUAACACCGAGCAGGAAUGACUACACAAGAUGCCUCUCUUGACACUUCUCAAUUAAGGGGAUUCGCCUCAGCGGCGCUCGGAAGUAAUGCUCAGCUAACUAUGAAGGGGAUCCUACGAAUGGAUGGGCGCUUAUUAAUUAAAGGCUUUUAUGUGACUUAAAUGACUUGGAAAAUAAUCACACCCGUGCACGAAUGAGGUCAGCACAAAGAGCUGAGCUGCCACACUUUUCCCUGAAAAAGCGCAGUGUAACAAUUUGCUCAGGGACUUAAGAGUCUCCACUGGGUCAUGGAUAGCACAUUAAAAUUAUGUCUAUUAUGUCUAUGUUAUUGCUUUGUAAAGAUGAUCUAUUUAUUGGUUCAUUGUCUUUGCUAAACUCAGGUAUGUGGCGGUGGGCAUUGAUUAUUGUAUUGAUAUCAAUUUGGUAUAACAAAAAUUGAUAUGGAAAAUAUCAGAAUACAGCUCAACUUCCUAAACUGA
Molecule: RNA transcript, 3774 nt
Organism: Myripristis murdjan (pinecone soldierfish)
Lineage: Eukaryota; Metazoa; Chordata; Actinopteri; Holocentriformes; Holocentridae
Gene name: chromatin modification-related protein eaf-1
Exons: 10
Source: RefSeq, a predicted model, not a curated record